Long non-coding RNA from Portunus trituberculatus (swimming crab), 343 nucleotides. RefSeq lists it as uncharacterized. The transcript has 3 exons. The record is from RefSeq and is a predicted model, not a curated record. NCBI's taxonomy places the organism in Eukaryota, Metazoa, Arthropoda, Malacostraca, Decapoda, Portunidae.
GCUGGCACGGUGGUGGGUGUUGUGCUGGGCUCCCUUGGGGUUCUUUGCCUAGCUGUUGGGUGUACAGAUGUUUGUCGGGAUCCUGAAGAUGCGUCGAUGUGUUAUCAUCCAUGCAAGCUUCCCCAACCCAGCCAGUGUACCACAAGACAACAGGCAGUGAGGAGGACGGGAGGAGGGAGCGAGCGGCUGCAUGCACUAUUGAACGGGACAGCAUUACAUUCUUCCCACAGUUGUAUGACUACACUGAAGGAAGCGUAGAAUAAAGUGUUGAGUGACCAUGAUGAAUCAGCACUACUAACGCCAAAGAAGUGAGGGAAGUGUUUGGAGUGAGCGUGCAAGACGU